RNAcentral lists this ribosomal RNA (433 nucleotides) under uncultured bacterium. Its description in RNAcentral is "bacterial SSU rRNA". It matches the Rfam family "Bacterial small subunit ribosomal RNA", at positions 28 to 477 of the family's 1533-position model. The record is from RNAcentral.
GACGAACGCUGGCGGCGCGCUUAAUACAUGCAAGUCGAACGAGAAGCCAGAGCUUGCCCUGGUGGAAAGUGGCGAACGGGUGAGUAACACGUGAGAAACCUGCCCCAAAGAUUGGGAUAAGCCUUGGAAACGAGGUCUAAUACCAAAUACCUUCUUUUUAACACAUGUUAAAAAGAAGAAAUGCUCCGGCGCUUUGGGAUGGUCUCGCGAUCUAUCAGCUUGUUGGUAAGGUAACGGCUCACCAAGGCAUCGACGGAUAGCUGGUCUGAGAGGAUGUCCAGCCACAUUGGAACUGAGACACGGUCCUAACUCCUACGGGAGGCAGCAGUAGGGAAUCUUGCACAAUGAGGGAAACCUUGAUGCAGCGACGCCGCGUGCGGGACGAAGGCCCUAGGGUUGUAAACCGCUUUCAGUAGGGACGAAAGUGACGGUA